GUGCUUGCUUCGGCAGCACAUAUACUAAAAUUGGAAUGAUACAGAAAAGAUUAGCAUGGCCCCUGCGCAAGGAUGGCACGCAGAUCCCGUUGGUGUGACUGAGUGUC
This is a small nuclear RNA of Tupaia belangeri (northern tree shrew), 107 nucleotides long. The record is from Ensembl. Lineage: Eukaryota; Metazoa; Chordata; Mammalia; Scandentia; Tupaiidae.